GGCUAAGUAAUCUCCAUCCUGCCUGUUUCAUCAGAAUCAAUGGAGAUCAUGCACAAAAAAGCAUGAACUGCUAAGUGUUCUGUAUGUUUCUGAAGUUAACAGAUGCCUGCUGAUACAAUGUGUUGAAUAGUUCUUGCGGUUAGACAGCAUCAUUAAUCGAACAAGAAGUGAAAUACAAUUCAUAAAUGGAUAGAGAAUAUCACUUUCACGUGGCCCACACACCCGUGGCAAACAAUUUCGUCAGCAGCAUCUCUGGCUUCAAGCAUUGAAGGAUGUGUCAGUGGAUUUUGUGAAAUAAGCCAAGAAUUAAUUGCCUUUCACUGUGGCUGAAGGAAACAAGUGCUUGUUCCUUGGUGCCAAAAAGAAGAACCAGCAUUCAGACAAAGAACUUUUCUCAGCAAGGUGAUCUUACUUUCUGCAGAAAGGGUGCUUCUUGGAAGUCUGCUUGUCAUGGGAGCACACUGAACAAAUACAAGCAGGAGUUAUUAUCCCUGACACAUUGGAUCCUUACUGCUGUGUCCUAUCCCCAUUGGCUGGAGCUGGACUGCCUGCCCAAUCUAGACUGAUCCGAACUGGCUAAAAACUUAAAAGUUUCCUAAAUAGGUAAACGUGCAGUAAUGAACAAAGAAAGUAAAGGGAUUGUUUAUGGGAAAGUAGGAGAAUAAUAACAUUUCCAAAUAAGGAAGAGGUGUAGGCUGUAAGCUGGGAAAUGCUUGGGCAUGUUAGAACAUGUCUGAGCAGGCUAUAGGCCAGAACAAAUAACAUGGUUAAAAUACAAGGACAUAAAAUGCACUUAUUCCCUUACCAUAUUUAAUGGCUACAUAGGGCUUAACAAAGAGUUAUUAGCAAAAAGCAAGGAAUGUUGAAGGAAGCUAGUUUUUAAAAGAAACUAUUAUUUCUGACACUUAUUAUUUAUUCUUUAACAAAAAGAGAAACCUUGCAGAUAAACUUUACUUUUCACAAAUAGAAACAAUGUCCUACUUUUCAUUUCUGUUAAGAACUCUACUCAGCUUUUCAAAUAAAUUUCUGUUUAUGUAAUUUAAUUCUUUUGACAAUAAAAC
RNAcentral lists this long non-coding RNA (1061 nucleotides) under Callithrix jacchus (white-tufted-ear marmoset). Its description in RNAcentral is "lncRNA (ENSCJAG00000056491.2)". The record is from RNAcentral. Lineage: Eukaryota; Metazoa; Chordata; Mammalia; Primates; Cebidae.